AUUGAACGCUGGCGGCAUGCCUUACACAUGCAAGUCGAACGGUAACGGGUCCUUCGGGAUGCCGACGAGUGGCGAACGGGUGAGUAAUAUAUCGGAACGUGCCCAGUAGUGGGGGAUAACUGCUCGAAAGAGCAGCUAAUACCGCAUACGACCUGAGGGUGAAAGGGGGGGGUCCGAAGAACUCCUGCUAUUGGAGUCGGCUAUAUCAGAUUCACUAGUUUGGGGGGUAAAGGCCUACCAAGGCAACGAUCUGUAGUUGGUCUGAGAGGGCGACCAGGCACACUGGGUCUGAGACACGGCCCAGACUCCUACGGGAGUGAGCAGUGGGGAAUUUUGGACAAUGGGCGCAAGCCUGAUCCAGCAAUGCCGCGUGCAGGAAGAAGGCCUGCGGGUUGUAAACUGCUUUUGUCAGGGAAGAAAUCUUCUGGGCUAAUACCCCGGGAGGAUGACGGUACCUGAAGAAUAAGCACAGGCUAACUACGUGCCAGCCGCCGCAGUAA
This 500-nucleotide ribosomal RNA is filed under the name uncultured bacterium. Its description in RNAcentral is "partial 16S ribosomal RNA". It matches the Rfam family "Bacterial small subunit ribosomal RNA", at positions 30 to 523 of the family's 1533-position model. The record is from RNAcentral.